Molecule: ribosomal RNA, 440 nt
Filed under: uncultured bacterium
Lineage: Bacteria
Description: partial 16S ribosomal RNA
Rfam family: Bacterial small subunit ribosomal RNA
Source: RNAcentral
CCUACGGGUGGCAGCAGUGGGGAAUAUUGCACAAUGGGGGAAACCCUGAUGCAGCGACGCCGCGUGAGUGAAGAAGUACUUCUUUAUGUAAAGCUCUAUCAGCAGGGAAGAAAAUGACGGUACCUGAGUCAUAAUCCCCGGCUAACUACGUUCCAGCAGCCGAGGUUAUAAGUAGGGGGCAAGCGUUAUCCGGAUUUACUGGGUGUAAAGGGAGCGUAGACGGCAGUGCAAGUCUGGAGUGAGAGUGGGGGGCUCAACCCCCGGACUGCUCGGGAGACUGUACGGCUGGAGUGCAGGAGAGGUAAGUGGAAUACCUAGUGUAGCGGUGAAAUGCGUAGAUAUUAGGAGGAACACCAGUGGCGAAGGCGGCUUACUGGACUGUAACUGACGUUGAGGCACGAAAGCGUGGGGAGCAAACAGGAUUAGAUACCCCAGUAGUC